RNAcentral lists this ribosomal RNA (934 nucleotides) under uncultured bacterium. RNAcentral's name for it is "bacterial SSU rRNA". It matches the Rfam family "Bacterial small subunit ribosomal RNA", at positions 51 to 985 of the family's 1533-position model. The record is from RNAcentral.
AUACAUGCAAGUCGGACGGGAUUGGAGAGCUUGCUUUCCAUGAGAGUGGCGCACGGGUGCGUAACACGUAUGUAACCUACCUUCGUCAGGGGGAUAGCCUCUCGAAAGAGAGAUUAAGCCCGCAUAACAUGUUGAUAUGGCAUCAUAUUAACAUCAAAUAUUUAUAGGACGAAGAUGGGCAUGCGGAACAUUAGCUAGUUGGUAAGGUAACGGCUUACCAAGGCUACGAUGUUUAGGGGAUCUGAGAGGAUGACCCCCCACACUGGUACUGAGACACGGACCAGACUCCUACGGGAGGCAGCAGUAAGGAAUAUUGGUCAAUGGGCGGAAGCCUGAACCAGCCAUGCCGCGUGCAGGAAGACGGCCCUACGGGUUGUAAACUGCUUUUGUACCGGAAUAAACCCCCGAUCGUGAUCGGGGCUGAAUGUACGGUAAGAAUAAGGAUCGGCUAACUCCGUGCCAGCAGCCGCGGUAAUACGGAGGAUCCGAGCGUUAUCCGGAUUUAUUGGGUUUAAAGGGUGCGUAGGCGGCCUGUUAAGUCAGGGGUGAAAGACGGUAGCUCAACUAUCGCAGUGCCCUUGAUACUGAUGGGCUUGAAUGUACUAGAGGUAGGCGGAAUGUGACAAGUAGCGGUGAAAUGCAUAGAUAUGUCACAGAACACCAAUUGCGAAGGCAGCUUACUAUGGUAUUAUUGACGCUGAGGCACGAAAGCGUGGGGAUCAAACAGGAUUAGAUACCCUGGUAGUCCACGCCCUAAACGAUGAAUACUCGAUGUUAGCGAUAUACAGUUAGCGUCAAAGCGAAAGCGUUAAGUAUUCCACCUGGGGAGUACGCCCGCAAGGGUGAAACUCAAAGGAAUUGACGGGGGCCCGCACAAGCGGAGGAGCAUGUGGUUUAAUUCGAUGAUACGCGAGGAACCUUACCCGGGCUUGAA